UACGAAGGGGGCUAGCGUUGUUCGGAAUUACUGGGCGUAAAGGGCGCGUAGGCGGUGUGUCAAGUCAGGCGUGAAAUCCCUCGGCUCAACCGAGGAACUGCGUCCGAUACUGGUGGGCUUGAAUCCGGGAGAGGGAUGUGGAAUUCCAGGUGUAGCGGUGAAAUGCGUAGAUAUCUGGAGGAACACCGGUGGCGAAGGCGGCAUCCUGGACCGGUAUUGACGCUGAUGCGCGAAAGCCAGGGGAGCAAACGGG
This 253-nucleotide ribosomal RNA is filed under the name uncultured bacterium. RNAcentral's name for it is "partial 16S ribosomal RNA". It matches the Rfam family "Bacterial small subunit ribosomal RNA", at positions 524 to 776 of the family's 1533-position model. The record is from RNAcentral.